Molecule: long non-coding RNA, 281 nt
Filed under: Gallus gallus (chicken)
Lineage: Eukaryota; Metazoa; Chordata; Aves; Galliformes; Phasianidae
Source: RNAcentral
CUGAACAGCAGUUAAGUAUUUCUUUUCAAGAAAGAAAGUAACGAGCCACUUAAUAAAUACAACUCGAGCUGCCAUAUAUGGAAUUUUUGUGCUAUAGACAUUUUCAUUGUUUCGUGUUGCAGUAACAUAUACAGGUCUUGGUCUUGUAUCAGGAAUAUCUAGAACAGGUUUGUAGAGGUUAGUUUGUUUUGUAAAAGACGGAAACAAGUGUGGAAGGUAGUAUUUUCUGAACAAGGUAAAGAGAAACUUGAAACCAGUGUCUUGGUUCUCCUUAUUCUUCC